GCAGGCGUGAGGCGCCGAGGGCCAGCAGGGACGAAGCUCGCAGGGACAGAUCCCUUUGUACCGCCAUCGAGUUUGGGUGUGACUACUCCAGGAAAGAUCGGACUUCUACAAUACAGACGCAGGUGUUGCUUGGUGACAGGCCUCCUUAAGACCCCAAACACCUGCAGGAUUCGGAAAUAUGCGUCGGGCGCCGGCGGGCUGCAAGGUGAUGCUACACACGUUUGGCAGCGAACACUGUAUCCGAACAUCCUGGACAUUUAAUUCUGCCACACCCGCAGACGGGUGUACUCCACCAUCACCCAUCCCCCAAACUCAUGCACGCCUCCCAGCGUUGUCCUCCUCUCCCAUCCAUACUCAUCAAUAGCAGCUGGAGAGUGUGCAGAAAAGGGCGUGCAGGGUCAUCCUUGGCCCUGCCUACACGAGUCUGAGUCUGCCCAGGCUGUCGGCCAGACACCAAGAGGCUGGAGAAGUUUGGGAAGUACCUGUUGCGCCAGCCACGCCUACGCCACAUGUUGCCGUCCGACGCGCCUCGCCCAUUCUGUGCCACUCGACACCACAACCUGAUAACGCCCCUAAAGGCGCCUAAAGGUCACGGACCGGCGCGCCGGCGAUGGGGGUGGACGUUGCGUGGAUUGCGUCCGAACCGGAACAACAGGCUGACCGAACAUCUCCAGACAAAAUGUUAGAGAAACGUCUCCCACAGACAAUCAGAGACAUCUUAUACCAUUGUAUCAUAUUUAUAAUACUAGAUGAGGAUCUUUACUGCUGUCACCAAAGUCAUUCCCCCCUUUAAGGAUUUCGGAAAAACCGAGAUAUUGAUCUGAAGACGAAAUAUAUUUUUAAGCCAUGGGAGGCCUUCAGCUGGCUAAGAAUGAAACCCCUGAGAGGGAGGACGUAGAGACAACUCAACCAUGGUGACCGUCAAGUCCUCAGAUAAUUUAGCAGGGACCUUUGUACCCCUGGCCACUUCACAUUUACGAACAAACGUUUAAAUAGGGGGUUUGCAGUCCAAAGUUCUGCAUUGUAUAGAUAGCAUGCUACAAUAUACUUAUGUACUAUU
Scylla paramamosain (green mud crab) is the source of this 1060-nucleotide long non-coding RNA. RefSeq lists it as uncharacterized. The record is from RefSeq and is a predicted model, not a curated record. NCBI's taxonomy places the organism in Eukaryota, Metazoa, Arthropoda, Malacostraca, Decapoda, Portunidae. The transcript has 3 exons.